GUGGAUGUAGUUCAGUGGUUAGAGCGCCAGGUUGUGGCCCUGGAAAUCGUGGGUUCGAGUCCCACCAUCCACCCCA
This 76-nucleotide transfer RNA is filed under the name Candidatus Pullichristensenella avicola. RNAcentral describes it as "tRNA-His". It matches the Rfam family "tRNA". Rfam says of the family: Transfer RNA (tRNA) molecules are approximately 80 nucleotides in length. Their secondary structure includes four short double-helical elements and three loops (D, anti-codon, and T loops). Further hydrogen bonds mediate the characteristic L-shaped molecular structure. tRNAs have two regions of fundamental functional importance: the anti-codon, which is responsible for specific mRNA codon recognition, and the 3' end, to which the tRNAs corresponding amino acid is attached (by aminoacyl-tRNA synthetases). tRNAs cope with the degeneracy of the genetic code in two manners: having more than one tRNA (with a specific anti-codon) for a particular amino acid; and 'wobble' base-pairing, i.e. permitting non-standard base-pairing at the 3rd anti-codon position. The record is from RNAcentral. Lineage: Bacteria; Bacillati; Bacillota; Clostridia.